This 467-nucleotide ribosomal RNA is filed under the name uncultured bacterium. Its description in RNAcentral is "partial 16S ribosomal RNA". It matches the Rfam family "Bacterial small subunit ribosomal RNA", at positions 28 to 506 of the family's 1533-position model. The record is from RNAcentral.
GACGAACGCUGGCGGCGUGCUUAACACAUGCAAGUCGAACGGAAAGGCCCUGCUUUUGUGGGGUGCUCGAGUGGCGAACGGGUGAGUAACACGUGAGUAACCUGCCCUUGACUUUGGGAUAACUUCAGGAAACUGGGGCUAAUACCGGAUAGGAGCUCCUGCUGCAUGGUGGGGGUUGGAAAGUUUCGGCGGUUGGGGAUGGACUCGCGGCUUAUCAGCUUGUUGGUGGGGUAGUGGCUUACCAAGGCUUUGACGGGUAGCCGGCCUGAGAGGGUGACCGGCCACAUGGGGACUGAGAUACGGCACAGACUCCUAGGGGGGGGAGCAGUGGGGAAUAUUGCACAAGGGGGGGAAGCCUGAUGCAGCAACGCCGCGGGCGGGAAGGGGGCCUUGGGGUUGUAAACCGCUUUCGCCGUGGACGAAGGGUGAGUGACGGUAAUGGGUAAAGAAGCACCGGCUAACUACGU